UCCCUUGUAGCUUAGUUGGUAAAGAAUCUGCCUGCAAUACAGGAGACCUUGGUUUGAUUCCUGGGUUGGGAA
RNAcentral lists this transfer RNA (72 nucleotides) under Ovis aries (sheep). It matches the Rfam family "tRNA". Rfam says of the family: Transfer RNA (tRNA) molecules are approximately 80 nucleotides in length. Their secondary structure includes four short double-helical elements and three loops (D, anti-codon, and T loops). The record is from Rfam by way of RNAcentral. Lineage: Eukaryota; Metazoa; Chordata; Mammalia; Artiodactyla; Bovidae.